Molecule: non-coding RNA, 327 nt
Organism: Pelobates cultripes (western spadefoot toad)
Lineage: Eukaryota; Metazoa; Chordata; Amphibia; Anura; Pelobatidae
Source: the annotation of a GenBank genome assembly
CUUCUAGUUUGAAUGUGGAGAUGUGUAAUAAAAGCUGUGAUUCACCUCGAUCAGUUAAUAGCAGUAAUAGCUUUCCAGAUUGUUCUAUAAUGAAACCACUAACCAGGUUUCAUGACUUGUUAAAUGAGCUAAAAGACAUUCAUGCAAUUGAAGAACGUAUAUUUGAAGAAACUACUAAGAUUCAGGAAUUACGGGAUCAGGAGCACAAACAAGCUGUGAAGGAACAGGAUUCUGCUUUCAAACGAUGUAAAGAGAGAAUACUAUUUCUAACCAUGCUCCAAAGAGAACGCAACCAAGUUGAGGAGUUGGAACAGAGUUUAGCUAAAG